UUAACAUUGAACCGUAACUGCAUGCAUUCCUGGUAGCCAUACAUUGUUCAGGGGGUUCUUUAGUUCGACAUUGCUGAAUAAGAAGGGUGUAAGCAAACAUUCUCCGAACAUUGAACCAAACACCAGCUCUACCAGUUCUCUAUUACACUUAACCGUGUCCUGGAGGUAAUUCUGGUGCUGAUGAGUGGUGGAUGUCUCACAUAUAAAGCCCUUCCGGUACACCUUCCUUCUUCUUGAACAUGACCUUCUCUUUGGCCUUCUUGAAAUCGGCAUGUUUACCUUCAUUCUGCGCUCCCUUAAAGCGAGCAAUCCGGCCUCCGUACAUAUUGCUUUGAUGUCAGCACCAGAAAACUCAUCCUUGGUCAUCACAAACUCUUCUAGGUUAACAUCAUCUGCCAAUGUCAUCUUAGAUGUGUCACCUGGAAGAUCCGCCUCCUGGUUUUAAUAUCUGGUAACGGAAAUUCAAUCUUUCUGUCUAUCCGACCAGGUCGAAGCAAAGCUGGGUCAAGACUUUCAAUGCGAUUUGUUGCUAAAAUAACUUUAACAUCUCCCCUUGAAUCAAAACCAUCCAGCUGAUUAAGCAACUCCAACAUGGUUCUCUGAAUUUCACGCUCUCCACCCGAAUGAGCAUCAUACCUCUUUGUUCCGACUGCAUCAAUCUCGUCAAUAAAGACAAUUGACGGAGAAAGAUCAUCAGCCACCCUAAACAAUUCUCUUACAAGCUUGGGGCCAUCACCAAGGUACUUUUGGAUCAACUCACUCCCAACAACACGCAAAAAUGUUGCUGAUAAAAAGAGACAAACCUUUGCAAGUAGAGUUUUGCCUGUGCCAGGUUCCCCAUAUAAUAUUACUCCCUUGGGAGGCCUUAUUCCAAUGUCCUCAUAUAGCUCAGGAUGAGUCAAGGGAAGCUCAACAGCCUCUUUAAUCUCUUGAAUUUGGGCAUCCAGACCACCGAUGUCCGCAUAAGACUCCAAAGGUGCCUUUUCAACUUUCAUGACAGAAACCAUAGGGUCAACCUCAUCUUGCAAAAUUCCAACCACAGAGAGAACCUGAAGAAAUGAUUUAUCAAAAUGGCACACCCUGGCUCGAGCUGGUCCUUGUCGACGAAUGAUAAUAUGCCAACAUAGUAUUCCGGCCCGACGGACGACGAGACGAUGGCGUGGCUCUCAUCGAUGAUCUCCUCAAGCGAGCCAACGCUCAUGGGGGUGCCCCGGAGGUCAUCGACCUUGGAUCGGUCCUCCUCCGUCUUGUCCUCGCUGGGUCGCAGCCGCUCCUGGCUGACGACGAACUCCUCCUCCAUGAGGAGGUAGUCCUUGACCCGCUCCAGCUUGAGCAAGCGGAGGCGGCACUUGGAGAGCGGCGCCACGGCGGGCAGGCGCGCCGCCGCCUCGGGCCCCUUCUGCUUCCGCUGCUUCCGGCCGACGCGGGACGGCGCGGCGGGGGGCUCGAACUUGCGGUCCUUCUUGUCGCCGGCGCCGCCGUCGCCCGGCUUGCGAUCGCCGGGGAGGCCGCCCUGCUUCCCCAUCCCGCCGGGAGUGCCCUGCCCCAUCGCCGCCGGUGGGUUGCGUCGCUUCGAGGGUUAGGGUUUGGGUGUUGGGGGGAUCGGGA
RNAcentral lists this small RNA (1608 nucleotides) under Oryza sativa Japonica Group (Japanese rice). RNAcentral describes it as "sRNA Os03g0298501". Lineage: Eukaryota; Viridiplantae; Streptophyta; Magnoliopsida; Poales; Poaceae. The record is from RNAcentral.